UCACUUACCUGGACGGGGUCUAUGAGUGAUCAUGUAGGCUCAUGCCUAGUUUGUUGACCUCCAUUGCACAUUGCUAAGGGGAAGCUACUUAAGAUCUCCCCAAGAGGAAGAGUCUACAUUAUAAUUUGUGGUAGUGGGGGCCUGUGUUCAUGGGCCCCUG
Amaranthus tricolor (Joseph's coat) is the source of this 160-nucleotide small nuclear RNA. RefSeq annotates it as U1 spliceosomal RNA. The record is from RefSeq and is a predicted model, not a curated record. The transcript has a single exon. Lineage: Eukaryota; Viridiplantae; Streptophyta; Magnoliopsida; Caryophyllales; Amaranthaceae.